RNAcentral lists this ribosomal RNA (253 nucleotides) under uncultured bacterium. RNAcentral describes it as "partial 16S ribosomal RNA". It matches the Rfam family "Bacterial small subunit ribosomal RNA", at positions 524 to 776 of the family's 1533-position model. The record is from RNAcentral.
UACGUAGGUGGCAAGCGUUAUCCGGAAUUACUGGGCGUAAAGCGCACGCAGGCGGUCUUGUAAGUUUGGCGUGAAAGCUCCCGGCUUAACUGGGAGAGGUCGCUGAAGACUGCAAGACUUGAGGAAAUGAGAGGGGUGUAGAAUUCCCGGUGUAGUGGUGGAAUGCGUAGAUAUCGGGGGGAAUACCAGUGGCGAAAGCGGCUCCCUAGCAUUUUUCUGACGCUCAUGUGCGAAAGCGUGGGGAGCGAACGGG